Trachymyrmex cornetzi is the source of this 213-nucleotide long non-coding RNA. RefSeq lists it as uncharacterized. The record is from RefSeq and is a predicted model, not a curated record. NCBI's taxonomy places the organism in Eukaryota, Metazoa, Arthropoda, Insecta, Hymenoptera, Formicidae. The transcript is spliced from 3 exons.
CUGUUAUUACACCGCGAUUACCGAGCACGUGAAACGCCAAGAGGUUAAUAUAUGAAUAAAAGUUAAAAUAUACCUAGAAGAGUAUUUUGAUUAUUUUUAGUCUGUGUAUUUCUGGUCUUUGUCUCCCAUUAUUACUAUUCAGCUUUGCUUGAUUUUUCAACGACAGUUUUAGAUGUGCUAGAACAAGGGCAGGCUGUGUGACUUUGCGGCAAG